GGCGGCAUGCCUAACACAUGCAAGUCGAACGGUAACAGGCCCGCAAGGGUGCUGACGAGUGGCGGACGGGUGAGGAAUACAUCGGAAUUUGCCCAGUCGUGGGGGAUAACGUAGGGAAACUUACGCUAAUACCGCAUACGACCUAACGGUGAAAGCGGGGGAUCGCAAGACCUCGCGCGGAUGGAUAAGCCGAUGUCGGAUUAGCUAGUUGGCGGGGUAAAGGCCCACCAAGGCGACGAUCCGUAGCUGGUCUGAGAGGAUGAUCAGCCACACUGGGACUGAGACACGGCCCAGACUCCUACGGGAGGCAGCAGUGGGGAAUAUUGGACAAUGGGGGCAACCCUGAUCCAGCAAUGCCGCGUGUGUUAAGAAGGCCUUCGGGUUGUNAAGCACUUUUAUCCGGAACGAAACGCGCAGGGUGAAUAUCCUUGCGAACUGACGGUACCGGA
This 449-nucleotide ribosomal RNA is filed under the name uncultured Gammaproteobacteria bacterium. RNAcentral describes it as "bacterial SSU rRNA". It matches the Rfam family "Bacterial small subunit ribosomal RNA", at positions 38 to 482 of the family's 1533-position model. Lineage: Bacteria; Pseudomonadati; Pseudomonadota; Gammaproteobacteria. The record is from RNAcentral.